RNAcentral lists this ribosomal RNA (207 nucleotides) under uncultured bacterium. Its description in RNAcentral is "partial 16S ribosomal RNA". It matches the Rfam family "Bacterial small subunit ribosomal RNA", at positions 568 to 774 of the family's 1533-position model. The record is from RNAcentral.
CAUGUAGGCGGCUGGGAAAGCGUCAAGUGAAAUCCCUCGGCUCAACCGAGGAACGGCUUGGCGAACUUCCCGGCUUGAGGCAAGUAGGGGUGCGUGGAACUCUUGGUGGAGCGGUGAAAUGCGUAGAUAUCAAGAGGAACGCCGGCGGCGAAAGCGGCGCACUGGGCUUGUCCUGACGCUGAGAUGCGAAGGCUAGGGGAGCGAACG